Molecule: ribosomal RNA, 224 nt
Filed under: uncultured Simkania sp.
Lineage: Bacteria; Pseudomonadati; Chlamydiota; Chlamydiia; Parachlamydiales; Simkaniaceae
Description: partial 16S ribosomal RNA
Rfam family: Bacterial small subunit ribosomal RNA
Source: RNAcentral
ACGAGACUAGAGGGCGACUUUUAGUUUAGUGGCGAAAGGGUUAGUAAUACAUGAAUAACUUACCCUUUACCUGGGGAUAACGACUGGAAACAGGCGCUGAUACCGAAUGAGGUACCGAUAAGUAAUUAUUGGCUAUCAAAGUGGGGGACCUUGUAAAGAGGCCUUGCGGUAAAGGAUAGGUUCAUGGGAUAUCAGUUAGUUGGUGUGGUAAAGGCGCACCAAGA